GGGGGUGUAGCUCAGUUGGCUAGAGCACCUGCUUUGCAAGCAGGGGGUCGUGGGUUCGAUUCCCAUCACCUCCACCA
RNAcentral lists this transfer RNA (77 nucleotides) under Acidimicrobiaceae bacterium. RNAcentral's name for it is "tRNA-Ala". It matches the Rfam family "tRNA". Rfam says of the family: Transfer RNA (tRNA) molecules are approximately 80 nucleotides in length. The record is from RNAcentral. Lineage: Bacteria; Bacillati; Actinomycetota; Acidimicrobiia; Acidimicrobiales; Acidimicrobiaceae. RNAcentral also lists the same sequence under 1 other name.